This 770-nucleotide ribosomal RNA is filed under the name Triticum aestivum (bread wheat). RNAcentral describes it as "partial small subunit ribosomal RNA". Lineage: Eukaryota; Viridiplantae; Streptophyta; Magnoliopsida; Poales; Poaceae. The record is from RNAcentral.
UUUUGUGACGGUCCAGUUUGGGAUCGGAAUAGGGGUAAAACCAGGGCUAAGUGAGCGAGGGCUCUCUCUCGAGCUGACGCCGCCGCUGCCGCUCCGCACGGGCGUCUAUUCUGUGCCGCCGCGCCGCCUCGUCGCACGUGUUCCUGAAGCAGGGCGGGCGAGGAGGCAGCUCGCAUCGAGGCCACUGCGCCGCUGCGUCAACACCCCGUAAAGCGGCCGCCGACGGCCGCGUUCGAAAACCGCCGCCGCUGUAGGCUCCGCGCCUCCGGUCCGCUACGCGUGCACGUACUCUUACCGUCGCCGCCGACGACGAAGUAAGGUGCUCGGUGGCGCUUCCCGCCGCCGCAGGACCGGUACCGCACGCGCGUGCUGUCACCGGCACGCCUGGGGCUUCCGGCCGUAGUAGAACGAAACCGCCGGCGAAUCGGCCGGGUCCCUCUCUCUGCGGUAGUGGAGGUAGUAGUGGGUCGAUUACCGGGAGGCUAACUGUGGCGGCGAAGGGGGUGGAGGAGGCCUUGGUCUAAUCUAGCAGUACAGCAGGUGAGGCGGCGGUAGCAGAGUCUAACACAGAAGCAGGAAAACACAACCCGCACUACACGGCACGGGUGUUGCCUUGAACCCAUAACACACACACAGGCACGAACAACCACACCAAGUACUGAACGCCACCGCAACGCAAACACACACGCGACACAAGACAACAAUGGAACUAUGAAACACGAACCACCCACGAAAUAAAUAUUUCGCCCCGCUUUCGGAAAAAGCCAUGU